Acanthosepion pharaonis is the source of this 115-nucleotide non-coding RNA. NCBI's taxonomy places the organism in Eukaryota, Metazoa, Mollusca, Cephalopoda, Sepiida, Sepiidae. The record is from the annotation of a GenBank genome assembly.
UUACGAUUAUAUCAGAUUUAAAACACCGAUUACCGUACGACCACCGAUGUUAAGCAACAUCGAGCUUGAUCAGUAUCUAGAUAGGUGACCACUAGGGAUAACCAGGUGCUGUCAU